Molecule: unclassified non-coding RNA, 849 nt
Filed under: Hevea brasiliensis (rubber tree)
Lineage: Eukaryota; Viridiplantae; Streptophyta; Magnoliopsida; Malpighiales; Euphorbiaceae
Source: RNAcentral
UUUCCAGUUUGUUCAUUAUCUGGUCACACUCUCACUUUCAGCCCUUUAUCAUCUCUGUUUUCAUUCCCAUUGUCCAAGCUCAACUUCAUUCCACUCGGUUUUUAUCUUAAUCUGAUUGCAUUUUGGCUAAGCACCCUUCAGUUCACGACGAACAUCUGCCCUCAGGCUAAUCAGUCCGCUGUCUUAUCACUAUUUGUCACUCCGUAGUUAUUUCAAUAAAUUUGGCUCCUUACAGGUAAGAGCUCAUACUGCUGUUUUAUUAAGUGUUUACGUUUACUUUUCGCACUUUCUUUGUCCUUCUUACAUAUGCAAUUUUCUCCAAGUUCAUUUUGUGCAAAAGAACCCCAAAGAAUGUUACUAUCGAGUUAUCUCUUUAGUGAUCAGUCCAUCAUUUUAUUAAUCUUCGUCAUUUCUGAACGCAAGUUUUCUAGCUCCUAGUAGCGUGUAAGUGGUUGGGUAAAACGUAGAUAACUGUAACUUAAGGGUCUCUUUUAAGAGAGAGAGCCUGAAUAACACGUCAGGAAAAUAGCCAAACUAUUAGGUUGACGUAAACGGCAAUUCGGCAAGAUGCCAUAAAGUGGAAUAAAACCAAAGUAAACGAAACAGAAUAGAUCGGACAUUAAUAGGUAUUGGUAAGGUGACCACAUGGGAGGUCGGUAAAUUCAGUCUAAUAUCCCCCGUCUAGUCACAAGGUAUCAAUUAGUUAAAAGAAGUCUUAUCCCCAGCACCUUUGAAUGCCAGAAUCCUUAGCUUUAGGCUCUUAUGACAUGUAGCUGAAAUUAAAAUUCGGGAGAUCGGAAAAGUCCCUUCCAGGCUCCGGUUAAUUUAAAAGAGAUCGGAGGAGAGUUC